CACAGGUUUGUAUGGUGUCCAAUUUCUCCUUCUAAAAAUUAGGCUCCAGCAGGUAAACUGGGUCCUGCAGAGCAGUGCUCCAACAGAGAGGAUUAGGUACCGAUCCCCAUAUCCAUCCUCCAUUUCUUUAGAAGAGAAGCCCCGGUGUUUAGAUACUCAGCUAGACAUGGUCUGCACAUUCUAGUCAGCGAGCUCUAAGACAAAGUGUCAUGUGUCCACGAUGGCAGGGAUGGCAGUUAAACAAAGGCUCAGCAAGAUGGACUUUCACUCACAAAGGCUGGCCCAGGUAUCUGGCAGCAGUGAGUACACUGAGUCCCCAAAUGGCACCGUUACCUGGAGUGAUCAGCCAGCUUUCUAGGGCCAGGUUGAUUACAGUCCAGCUUUCUAGUGGCAGGUUGAUUACAGUGGACCACUUUCAUCAUGGACGAGGCAACACGUUUUUACUGGAAGAAACACUUACUCUGGAUAUGGGUUUGUCUUCCCGGAAUGCAAUGCUUCUGUUAAAACUGUCACAUGUGGACUUAUAGAAUGUCUUAUCCACUGUCAUGGUAUGCCACACAGCACUUCUGGUCAAGGAACUCAGUUGACAGCAAAUGACGUGAGGCCAAGGAACCCGUGCUCACCCAAUCCACUGGUGUUACCAGGUUACCCACCAUCCUGAAGCAGCAGGCUUGACCCGCAGAAAUGGAGAACACGCAAAGGACAGAGAGGGGCAUCAGGAGCCAACACACAGAGAAAAGACCAUGUGAGGACACAGCAAAAAGACAGCCGCCUGCAAGACCAGAAGAGGCCUCAGGAGAAAUCCACCUGCCAGCACCUUGAUAUUGGACUUCCCACCUCCAGAACUGUCCCUGUUCCAGCGCCACUUGACGGUGCCUGCCGUCGAAGUCGAACAGUCUGAAGGGGAGGCGUGGAGC
This is a non-coding RNA of Manis javanica (Malayan pangolin), 917 nucleotides long. The record is from RefSeq and is a predicted model, not a curated record. NCBI's taxonomy places the organism in Eukaryota, Metazoa, Chordata, Mammalia, Pholidota, Manidae.